This 360-nucleotide transfer-messenger RNA is filed under the name Acidobacteriota. RNAcentral's name for it is "UBA890 sp002722645 Standard tmRNA". It matches the Rfam family "transfer-messenger RNA". From Rfam's summary of the family: Bacterial tmRNA, also known as 10Sa RNA or SsrA, is named for its dual tRNA and mRNA-like properties. Its role is to liberate the mRNA from a stalled ribosome. To accomplish this part of the tmRNA is used as a reading frame that ends in a translation stop signal. RNAcentral also lists the same sequence under 3 other names. Lineage: Bacteria; Pseudomonadati. The record is from RNAcentral.
GGGGGCGACAGGCUUCGACGGGAGCUCUGACGCCCGAGGCUGCAUGCCGAGCGUAUCCCGCGUGCUCGUUAAUCUGGUGGGUAAUUCAAAACAACUGCCAACGAACCGGUAGCUCUGGCCGCUUAACCCCGGUCAGCGUUCGCCAGGCUCUCGCCUAUAGGGGCCAGGACGAACGUCGCUAUAUAGGCUGUGCUGCGCGUCACGCCUGACGGCGUCGUAGCGAGAUUUCAGUCAGACUAGCGGAAAGCUGAGCUGGCCCACCCGGCUUGCUGCCCGCGAAGCUAAAGCGGUGGGCUAAGCAUGUAGAGGCUUCGCGCCGAUAGUUUUCGGACGCGGGUUCGAUUCCCGCCGCCUCCACUG